Molecule: ribosomal RNA, 442 nt
Filed under: uncultured bacterium
Lineage: Bacteria
Description: partial 16S ribosomal RNA
Rfam family: Bacterial small subunit ribosomal RNA
Source: RNAcentral
CCUACGGGAGGCAGCAGUGGGGAAUAUUGCGCAAUGGACGCAAGUCUGAUGCAGCAACGCCGCGUGAAGGAAGAAGGCUUUCGGGUCGUAAACUUCUAUCAACGGGGACGAGCAGAAUACCGUUCCCUUUGUAUAACCCACGGCCAACCAAGUUCCAGCAGCCGCGGUAAUACGGAGGGGGCAAGCGUUUUUCGGAAUUACUGGGUGUAAAGGGUGAGCAGGCGGAAAGAGAAGUCAGAUGUGAAAGCCACGGGCUUAACCCGUGAACUGCAUUUGAAACUAUUAACCUAGAGUGUAGGAGAGGAAAGCGGAAUUCCUAGUGUAGCGGUGAAAUGCGUAGAUAUAAGGAAGAACACCAGUGGCGAAGGCGGAUUGCUGGACUGUAACUGACGGUGAGGCACGAAAGCGUGGGGAGCGAACAGGAUUAGAUACCCUUGUAGUC